AUUGAACGCUGGCGGCAGGCUUAACACAUGCAAGUCGAGCGGGGUGAUGGUGCUUGCACUAUCACUUAGCGGCGGACGGGUGAGUAAUGCUUAGGAAUCUGCCUAUUAGUGGGGGACAACAUCUCGAAAGGGAUGCUAAUACCGCAUACGUCCUACGGGAGAAAGCAGGGGAUCACUUGUGACCUUGCGCUAAUAGAUGAGCCUAAGUCGGAUUAGCUAGUUGGUGGGGUAAAGGCCUACCAAGGCGACGAUCUGUAGCGGGUCUGAGAGGAUGAUCCGCAACACUGGGACUGAGACACGGCCCAGACUCCUACGGGAGGCAGCAGUGGGGAAUAUUGGACAAUGGGGGGAACCCUGAUCCAGCCAUGCCGCGUGUGUGAAGAAGGCCUUAUGGUGUAAAGCACUUUAAGCGAGGAGGAGGCUACUCUAGUUAAUACCUAGGGAUAGUGGACGUUACUCGCAGAAUAAGCACCGGCUAACUCUGUGCCAGCCGCCGCCGUAA
Molecule: ribosomal RNA, 502 nt
Filed under: uncultured bacterium
Lineage: Bacteria
Description: partial 16S ribosomal RNA
Rfam family: Bacterial small subunit ribosomal RNA
Source: RNAcentral